GGACUACUGGGGUAUCUAAUCCUGUUUGCUCCCCUAGCUUUCGUGCAUCAGCGUCAGUUAUGGUCCAGUGAGCCGCUUUCGCCACAGGUGUUCCUUCCGAUAUCUACGCAUUUCACCGCUACACCGGAAAUUCCACUCACCUCUCCCAUACUCAAGCCCGGCAGUUUCUGAUGCAGACUAUGGGUUGAGCCCAUAGAUUUCACAUCAGACUUGCCAAACCGCCUACGCACCCUUUACGCCCAAUAAAUCCGAACAACGCUUGCCCCCCUCGUAUUACCGCGGCGGCUGGCAC
Molecule: ribosomal RNA, 292 nt
Filed under: uncultured Acidobacteriota bacterium
Lineage: Bacteria; Pseudomonadati; Acidobacteriota
Description: uncultured Acidobacteria bacterium partial 16S ribosomal RNA
Source: RNAcentral